Molecule: ribosomal RNA, 263 nt
Filed under: uncultured bacterium
Lineage: Bacteria
Description: partial 16S ribosomal RNA
Source: RNAcentral
CUGCUGCCUUCCGUAGGAGUUUGGGCCGUGUCUCAGUCCCAAUGUGGCCGGUCACCCUCUCAGGCCGGCUACUGAUCGUCGCCUUGGUAGGCCGUUACCCCACCAACUAGCUAAUCAGACGCGGGUCCAUCUUAUACUACCUCAGUUUUUCACACAGAACAUGCGUUCCCGUGCGCUUAUGCGGUAUUAGCAGUCAUUUCUAACUGUUAUCCCCCUGUAUAAGGCAGGUUACCCACGCGUUACUCACCCGUCCGCCGCUAAGU